This is a long non-coding RNA of Musca vetustissima, 355 nucleotides long. RefSeq lists it as uncharacterized. The record is from RefSeq and is a predicted model, not a curated record. The transcript has 2 exons. Lineage: Eukaryota; Metazoa; Arthropoda; Insecta; Diptera; Muscidae.
ACAGGACUCAGCACGCGCCACCCAAAAUGAGGUUCCUCGCUUCAUUUCCAGCACACAGUGGCCACCAAAAUCUCCGGAUACCAAUCCGUUGGACUAUUGUGUCUAGAGUAUUUUGGAAAGCAAGGUUGACACUAAAAAAAUAUCAAAGUGUCGAUCACCUCAAGCAAGCGCUUCGCCGGGAAAGGGCCAAAACAGAGCAACAUUCGGGCAGGUUGUGAUGGUUUUAUUGGCCGUUUGAAGGACACAAUUCGUGCCGAAGGUGACCAAUUCGAACAAAUCUAAACUUUUUCUAAAAUUUAAUGCUAUUUCCGAAAUUUUUUGCUUUUAUUCAAUAAAAUUUAAAAAAAAUUAAUAA